RNAcentral lists this long non-coding RNA (415 nucleotides) under Homo sapiens (human). RNAcentral's name for it is "HSALNT0176024". The record is from RNAcentral. Lineage: Eukaryota; Metazoa; Chordata; Mammalia; Primates; Hominidae.
GUCAACAUCAGGUAUGGAGAUCUUGGGAGCUUUGAUAUUUAUUUCAGGCAUCUUGAACUUGGGGCCCUUUAGUUUCGCAUCUGGACCUUCGAUAUUCACAUCAGGAACAUCAACGUCCACUUUGGGUCCUGAGACAUCAAUGUCAGCCUUGGGCAGGUUCACAUCCACAUCUGGGCCCUCUCCUUUGAAGCCAGGCAUGCUGAACUUGGGCAUUUUCACCUUGGGCAUCUUCAGGUGCCAGUCUGGGCCUUGAACAUCAACAUCUGGAGCAUCAAUGUCCACCUUGGGUCCUGAGACAUCAAGGUCAGCCUUGGGCAGAUUCACAUCCACUUCAGGGCCCUCUGCUUUGAAGCCAGGCAUACUGAACUUGGGCAUUUUCAUCUUGGGCAUUUUCAGGUGCCAAUCUGGGUCGUGA